Molecule: ribosomal RNA, 2260 nt
Filed under: Escherichia coli
Lineage: Bacteria; Pseudomonadati; Pseudomonadota; Gammaproteobacteria; Enterobacterales; Enterobacteriaceae
Description: partial 23S ribosomal RNA
Rfam family: Bacterial large subunit ribosomal RNA
Source: RNAcentral
ACCGGGCGUUAAGUUGCAGGGUAUAGACCCGAAACCCGGUGAUCUAGCCAUGGGCAGGUUGAAGGUUGGGUAACACUAACUGGAGGACCGAACCGACUAAUGUUGAAAAAUUAGCGGAUGACUUGUGGCUGGGGGUGAAAGGCCAAUCAAACCGGGAGAUAGCUGGUUCUCCCCGAAAGCUAUUUAGGUAGCGCCUCGUGAAUUCAUCUCCGGGGGUAGAGCACUGUUUCGGCAAGGGGGUCAUCCCGACUUACCAACCCGAUGCAAACUGCGAAUACCGGAGAAUGUUAUCACGGGAGACACACGGCGGGUGCUAACGUCCGUCGUGAAGAGGGAAACAACCCAGACCGCCAGCUAAGGUCCCAAAGUCAUGGUUAAGUGGGAAACGAUGUGGGAAGGCCCAGACAGCCAGGAUGUUGGCUUAGAAGCAGCCAUCAUUUAAAGAAAGCGUAAUAGCUCACUGGUCGAGUCGGCCUGCGCGGAAGAUGUAACGGGGCUAAACAAUGCACCGAAGCUGCGGCAGCGACACUGUGUGUUGUUGGGUAGGGGAGCGUUCUGUAAGCCUGUGAAGGUGUACUGUAAGGUAUGCUGGAGGUAUCAGAAGUGCGAAUGCUGACAUAAGUAACGAUAAAGCGGGUGAAAAGCCCGCUCGCCGGAAGACCAAGGGUUCCUGUCCAACGUUAAUCGGGGCAGGGUGAGUCGACCCCUAAGGCGAGGCCGAAAGGCGUAGUCGAUGGGAAACAGGUUAAUAUUCCUGUACUUGGUGUUACUGCGAAGGGGGGACGGAGAAGGCUAUGUUGGCCGGGCGACGGUUGUCCCGGUUUAAGCGUGUAGGCUGGUUUUCCAGGCAAAUCCGGAAAAUCAAGGCUGAGGCGUGAUGACGAGGCACUACGGUGCUGAAGCAACAAAUGCCCUGCUUCCAGGAAAAGCCUCUAAGCAUCAGGUAACAUCAAAUCGUACCCCAAACCGACACAGGUGGUCAGGUAGAGAAUACCAAGGCGCUUGAGAGAACUCGGGUGAAGGAACUAGGCAAAAUGGUGCCGUAACUUCGGGAGAAGGCACGCUGAUAUGUAGGUGAAGUCCCUCGCGGAUGGAGCUGAAAUCAGUCGAAGAUACCAGCUGGCUGCAACUGUUUAUUAAAAACACAGCACUGUGCAAACACGAAAGUGGACGUAUACGGUGUGACGCCUGCCCGGUGCCGGAAGGUUAAUUGAUGGGGUCAGCGCAAGCGAAGCUCUUGAUCGAAGCCCCGGUAAACGGCGGCCGUAACUAUAACGGUCCUAAGGUAGCGAAAUUCCUUGUCGGGUAAGUUCCGACCUGCACGAAUGGCGUAAUGAUGGCCAGGCUGUCUCCACCCGAGACUCAGUGAAAUUGAACUCGCUGUGAAGAUGCAGUGUACCCGCGGCAAGACGGAAAGACCCCGUGAACCUUUACUAUAGCUUGACACUGAACAUUGAGCCUUGAUGUGUAGGAUAGGUGGGAGGCUUUGAAGUGUGGACGCCAGUCUGCAUGGAGCCGACCUUGAAAUACCACCCUUUAAUGUUUGAUGUUCUAACGUGGACCCGUGAUCCGGGUUGCGGACAGUGUCUGGUGGGUAGUUUGACUGGGGCGGUCUCCUCCUAAAGAGUAACGGAGGAGCACGAAGGUUGGCUAAUCCUGGUCGGACAUCAGGAGGUUAGUGCAAUGGCAUAAGCCAGCUUGACUGCGAGCGUGACGGCGCGAGCAGGUGCGAAAGCAGGUCAUAGUGAUCCGGUGGUUCUGAAUGGAAGGGCCAUCGCUCAACGGAUAAAAGGUACUCCGGGGAUAACAGGCUGAUACCGCCCAAGAGUUCAUAUCGACGGCGGUGUUUGGCACCUCGAUGUCGGCUCAUCACAUCCUGGGGCUGAAGUAGGUCCCAAGGGUAUGGCUGUUCGCCAUUUAAAGUGGUACGCGAGCUGGGUUUAGAACGUCGUGAGACAGUUCGGUCCCUAUCUGCCGUGGGCGCUGGAGAACUGAGGGGGGCUGCUCCUAGUACGAGAGGACCGGAGUGGACGCAUCACUGGUGUUCGGGUUGUCAUGCCAAUGGCACUGCCCGGUAGCUAAAUGCGGAAGAGAUAAGUGCUGAAAGCAUCUAAGCACGAAACUUGCCCCGAGAUGAGUUCUCCCUGACCCUUUAAGGGUCCUGAAGGAACGUUGAAGACGACGACGUUGAUAGGCCGGGUGUGUAAGCGCAGCGAUGCGUUGAGCUAACCGGUACUAAUGAACCGUGAGGCUUAACCUU